Molecule: ribosomal RNA, 1169 nt
Filed under: Dicerura sp. JSC59
Lineage: Eukaryota; Metazoa; Arthropoda; Insecta; Diptera; Cecidomyiidae
Description: SSU rRNA
Rfam family: Eukaryotic small subunit ribosomal RNA
Source: RNAcentral
CUAAAAUAAAGUUAAACCGCAUAAGGCUCAUUAUAUCAGUUAUGGUUUUUUAGAUCGUAUUCACAGUUACUUGGAUAACUGUGGUAAUUCUAGAGCUAAUACAUGCACUUAAGGGAAUUUUAACCGAUUCCUGCUUUUAUUAGAUAAAAACCAAUGGGGUAGACUUCGGUUUGCUCAAUAAAAUGGUUGAACUCUGGAUAAUUUGUUGAUCGCAUGGUCUUCGUACCGGCGACGGAUCUUUCAAAUGUCUGCCCUAUCAACUAUUGAAGGUAGUGUCUUGGACUACCUUGGUUGCAACGGGUAACGGGGAAUCAGGGUUCGAUUCCGGAGAGGGAGCCUGAGAAACGGCUACCACAUCUAAGGAAGGCAGCAGGCGCGUAAAUUACCCACUCCCGGCACGGGGAGGUAGUGACGAAAAAUAACAAUACAAGACUCACAUCCGAGGCCUUGUAAUUGGAAUGAGUACACUUUAAAUCCUUUAACAAGGAUCAAUUGGAGGGCAAGUCUGGUGCCAGCAGCCGCGGUAAUUCCAGCUCCAAUAGCGUAUAUUAAAGUUGUUGCGGUUAAAACGUUCGUAGUUGAACUUGUGUUCCGCACAGGCAGUACCUACGACUAGGUCACUAGUACGGUACUUUGUCUUUUCACAUUUGUGGAAAAAGUGCGUGGACGUAUUAUCGGCGUGUUCAUCUUCCGAGGUGUUCACUUAAGCUCAUUUCAGUGCUCUUCAUCGAGUGUUGUUGUGGGCCGAUACAAAUUACUUUGAACAAAUUAGAGUGCUUAAAGCAGGCUUGAAAUGCCUGAAUAUUUUGUGCAUGGAAUAAUGUAAUAGGACAUCUGUUCUACUUUCAUUGGUUUUUUAGAUCAAGAUGUAAUGAUUAAUGGAGGCAAUUGGGGGCAUUAGUAUUACAACGCGAGAGGUGAAAUUCUUAGACCGUAGUAAGACUAACUAAAGCGAAAGCAUUUGCCAAAGGUGUUUUCAUUUAAUCAAGAACGAAAGUUAGAGGUUCGAAGGCGAUCAGAUACCGCCCUAGUUCUAACCAUAAACGAUGUCAGCUAGCAAUUGGGUGGAGCUACUACUAUGGCUCUCUCAGGCGCUUCUCGGGAAACCAAAGCUUUUGGGCUCCGGGGGAAGUUUGGUUGCAAAGCUGAAACUUAAAGGAAUUGACGGA